Suricata suricatta (meerkat) is the source of this 1293-nucleotide long non-coding RNA. RefSeq lists it as uncharacterized. The record is from RefSeq and is a predicted model, not a curated record. Lineage: Eukaryota; Metazoa; Chordata; Mammalia; Carnivora; Herpestidae. The transcript is spliced from 4 exons.
CAGCUCCCCUCUUCCAUGGAACGAGACUCUGAUUUGAGCUUCACAAACUCUCGAGCCACUUCAUCAUUGCUCCUCUGAGACAGAAUCCGAAGAAUAGUCAUGCCUGUGUCAUCCAUAUGGAUCUUCCGGCCCAAGGGGCACCAGCAAGCACAGCUGCCCUUGGCUGCCACAUCCCUCAGAGGCAUCACAGCCAGCCCCAGAACACGAUCCUCCCGGGCAAAGCAGUAAUCCUUCACACAUAUUUGCAACUCAUAGGCUUCUGGCCCCUCUUCAUUUCCCAGGAGGCUGUGAGCACAGGAUGGGUGGAAGGAGAGGAGGUCAGAGCUGAAAGAGCCUUCAGCUGAUUUUACCCCAGCCAUCAUCCAACUCAUCCCUCUUCUCCCCUCUCAAUUCUUACCCUCAGCUCACCCCCAUCCCAGAGUCCUGCAGGUUCCCCACCCUAUAACUCACAAGUGGAAUGUCUCAUUAUACUUGGGAGCCCAAUUGUUGCUCUUCGACUUGGUUGUGAACUUCCUCUUUUUAUCACUUUGGUGUGGGCCAACCAUGGUCACUUCCACAAAAGGCCGGAACAUCCCUGCCGUCUGCCACUUGAGGUCAUUGGCAGCCACCACUGCCCAAAUAAGAGAAGCCUGUGAGAGAUCCCACCAAAUGUUCCCAGUUCUGGAGCCCUAGGUGGAAUUCCCCUUGGAGGAAGGCUACGUUAGAGGACUGGGAUAAGCAGCCUCUGCCUUCAACUGAUGAGGCCACUGCAAAAGAAAAGCUCUGAGACCUGAUCAUCCACACCAGACCCUGAAGGACAGAUGGAGAGUUGAUUCCCUCAUUGGAGAACUCUAAGACAUCAGGCCUAAUUAUCCCAGGACCACUUCCAACAAGCCUUCCAAAACUACAAGUCUUAACGAGUGUUUCCACAACUUAUUCUCAAGACUUCCUGACAAAUACUUCCUAACAGACAGGCUAUGCUCCUUGAGCUCAAUGAACAUGAGCUAGCCAGGCAAUGUCUGGGAAAAGAAUUGCAGAACAUUUGCCAGGUCCCUAUGAUUCUCCUAUCUGGUAUGAGUACACUGUGGAAGGCCCCACGCAGGAAUUCCAAGGACACAUCCUCAUUCUCAUCCAGCCACUGCAGGACAAACUGCUCAAACCACCUGCAGCCAGGCAGGAGAAUUGGGGGUUGGAGCAAGUGGUUGGCAUAUGCCAUGUGCCUAACAGCUACCCCAGACUCAGGUCUCCUGGAAAGUAGGGGAUGGUUUGAUGCUUUUCUCUUUCUAUAACAGAGCCCAGAACUGGCAGUCUCAA